Molecule: ribosomal RNA, 468 nt
Filed under: uncultured bacterium
Lineage: Bacteria
Description: partial 16S ribosomal RNA
Rfam family: Bacterial small subunit ribosomal RNA
Source: RNAcentral
GACGAACGCUGGCGGCGUGCUUAACACAUGCGAGUCGAACGGAAAGGCCCUGCUUUUGUGGGGUGCUCGAGUGGCGAACGGGUGAGUAACACGUGAGUAACCUGCCCUUGACUUUGGGAUAACUUCAGGAAACUGGGGCUAAUACCGGAUAGGAGCUCCUGCUGCAUGGUGGGGGUUGGAAAGUUUCGGCGGUUGGGGAUGGACUCGCGGCUUAUCAGCUUGUUGGUGGGGUAGUGGCUUACCAAGGCUUUGAAGGGUAGCCGGCCUGAGAGGGUGACCGGCCACAUUGGGACUGAGAUACGGCCCAGACUCCUACGGGAGGCAGCAGUGGGGAAUAUUGCACAAUGGGCGGAAGCCUGAUGCAGCAACGCCGCGUGCGGGAUGACGGCCUUCGGGUUGUAAACCGCUUUCGCCUGUGACGAAGCGUGAGUGACGGUAAUGGGUAAAGAAGCACCGGCUAACUACGUG